CUCUUUACUAACUAUGUCUAUGAAAAGACAAAGUCUUUGAAGGUGAUUGUUUUUAUGGUCUUUUUUACGAAGGCGUUAACAUUGUCAUGUUUAUCAAUGUUUAUUUCGCCAUGUUUUCGAUUUACAUCAUUCCACAAGGUAGUACAUCUAUACGUUAUAGAGAGCUUCAAAGUUUUUGUAUUGAACCGGGGUGAACAAGGGUGAAUUUUGUUUUCGACCAACCAGAGCAUUUGGUUACCUUUUGGCGCUAAGCCAAUCAGAACGCAUACAUUGUUACUACUUCCGAUUUAGAAGCG
Non-coding RNA from Paramuricea clavata, 296 nucleotides. Lineage: Eukaryota; Metazoa; Cnidaria; Anthozoa; Malacalcyonacea; Plexauridae. The record is from the annotation of a GenBank genome assembly.